CAUUUUUUGGUUUUACGAGCAUUAUUUUGGGAUUUAAAGGAAUAUGUUGUUUGGAGUCAAAGACAGCUAGAGUUGAUUAUAAACAAAAAUUACUCUUCCUCGACAACCAGUAACAUUAACAAAAAUUACGAUAUGUAUUGUAUACCGAGCUCAGGCCAAGAAUUAGUCUGUGAUAUUAAUUAAUCUCAAAUAUUAUCACAACGGUGAGACCAAAGCACUAUUUUUAACCUACAUUUAAAUUCCUUCUGCCAAAAAGAAAAGACAUCCAUAGAAUAUAUGCUUGCUUCUUAGUUAGCAUAAUAUAUAUAAUCUACAGAAUCCACGCUAGCUAGCUUGUUGAAACCAAUAUUGGAAUUGAAUUAGCUUAAUAAAAAUGCAAAUGGCACAAAUCAGUGCUGCUCUUGUUGUUCUUGCUGCGUUUCUGCUGGUUUCUCCGAGCAUGGUGUUGGGAGAACAAUAUAUAUAUUGUCGGUGAUAUUGGCUGGGGAGUGUUUGAGCUCAGUAGGUAUUUUUGGUCCAAGACUCGGGGUACGUUUUGGAUAACAUUUGGGCCAGUACCUGUGGCCCUUUUUUAAUGCGAAGCCCACGAAGGAUGGCGAAGUCUGGCAACACGCGAGCUGGAGUUUUGCAAGGAUUCCGAUACCCCGCGGGAUUCGAUGUCCUCGCGGGAUCCUUUGUUCAGUUCGUGUAGGAUUCUACAGUGCAUGGCGAGGUAGAGUUGGAAAUGGACUGUAGUACUCCGCGGGAUAGGAUCGCUUAGUGUUCGAGUUCGCGUACGACGCUACAGUAAGAUGAUGCGGGGCGGUGAGCGAGACCUAGGCGAGGUCUGUUCUGGACACGUGUUGCACGGAUCGCGCGGCUCGCGAGCUGGUCGUAUCCUUGUGGAAUUCUAAUUGCUGAGUCCGAAUGGGUUAUGACUAGGUCUAUGCGAAUUGCUCGCGGAUCACUAUAUAAGGGAGCUUGACAUAAUCAAAGAGGACACAAUCAAUCAUACAAAAACAAGUACAAGUUCUCGAGCAUCCUCGAAACCCUAAGUUCUAAGUGCACUUCGCCUUAGUUCUCAGACUCCCUCCCGAUUCGCCUCCUUCCCCUAGUUGUUGCUCUGCUCACCCUAGCAGUGAGUAUCGAUUCACAAGUGACAAGAAGUUUUACUCGUAAUCCCUCGUCGGCGAGGUGGCACCGGUAACCCCUUCUUCGCUUGUUUAGAAGUCUAGCCGCAGCGCAUUCUUUUCCUCGCCCGCGAGGUGGCACGCCCCGCAAAUGUCCUUCUCUUUACUUUUGAGUCACCGGAGUUCCGACUCUGCCCCUGCUGAGACGCGUGGCCAAAACAUUGGCACGCCCAGUGGGACCGGGAGUAUAACAUUCUCGUCAUCAUUGGGAAAUCAGGCGGAUCCCCAUACGGGAGACCCUCGGUUUCUUGUUUGAAACAUAAAUCUUCACAAUACAAGCCCCAUAACAGCGCGGCUUGUCGAUCUCUCACCCAAGAAGAAGUUCUCGCUCGGUUUGGCACACCCGACCAUAGCGGAACCAUAAUGACAGGUUCACGACCAACCCAGGACACAGGACCUACUCUGCCAGCUGACGAAGUCCGCCAGAUGUUUGGGGAACUGAAGAAUAAUCUCGACUCACUCAGCUCGAAAGUCGACACCACCCAGCAAAGUGUCAAAGACCUCUCUGAACAGGUCACUAAGGACAGAACUAUCUGGCUCGCUAACCAAGAAAACCUUUCUAGGCUCAGCGAGGAGUUUAAUUACGUUGCUGGUCAUGUCAGGGAGGACAAAGACUUGGUGGAAGGUUCCCUUCAAAGGAUCCAGAAAGAAUUGGAUCAGAGCAAGGUGACUUUCACCAAAACCCUGCAGCUUACCCGCGCAACCGUGGAUGAGCAGACCCGUCGCUUGGACGAACACGACACCAAGGUACAGCAACAGCAGGACGCUUCUUUCUUUGGAAGCAGGAACAACAUGGAAAAGCUUGAGGACUACAAAGAGCGACAUGAUAAUCUGAGCAUAAGGGUCCUGCAAAUGGAAGACUGGAUACGGGCUCAGACACCAAAAAAUCAUGCCUUGAACUUAGCUAGUUCAAGUGCAACUGAGGGCUCAAGGUACAUUCCACCUAAUGAAUGCCCUAGAGGAAAUCCGAAGGUCGGGGCCCAGAAGACUCCCCAAUUCACAUUGGGGGCCAGUUCGUCAAAGACGCCACCCCUUCUACCCACGCCAGGCAGCCCUGGAGUCACACUCAGGGGCGCCGGUGUCUUCCCAUCUCAAGGGAUCGGGACACCAGAUGACCCAGUUAUAGCUUAUUCCAGUUCGACCCCUAAGAACAUCGUGCAGGUCCCUAGCCUCUCUGCAUGGCAUGGCCACGAUCAGGGGGCAGAGUCCACACCAGUAACGGCAGCCGAUUGGCGCCAGCUCAUCUCGAGCAUAGUCAAGGAGCAAACCGGAAAAGGUGAUACUAGCUUGCAUUAUCGUGACCCCUAUCCAGAUAGCGUGGCACAAUAUCUUUUCCCUCAUGGAUUUAAGAAUAUUGUCUUCACCACUUUCUCCGGAGAGACAAGGGAAGACGCAGCAACACAUAUGGCUCGUUUCAAAGUCCAAUGCGGCCAAUACGGGAAUGAUGAUAUGCUCAAACUCAAGCUUUUUGGGACGUCUCUAUCCGGAGCUGCUUUUACUUGGUACUCCAGAUUGAAGCCUGGGUCAAUAGCUGACUGGCCCACUAUGGAGAGACUUUUCUGAGAGACAUACGGCACAAUUGAACCUGAAGUCGGCCUUGAUUCCCUCACACAGAUGAGCCAGCAAAGCAUGGAGUCUGGAGUUUCCUUCCUCCAGCGUUUCAAGAUCCAACAAGCCAAAUGUGAUUACCUGCUACCUGAGCAUGAAGCCGUUAAGUUGGCUAUCAGAGGCCUGGAGCACCGCCAGCGGUUAAAGCAUCACGGAGAGCACUUUACUUCCAUGGGCGACCUGAUUAACAAGGUCGGUAGCUACGAGCUAAUCCUGAACGAGUUGGAUGACAAAGUAAAUGCCUCCAAAGGAACUUACAUACCAGGGAAGAAUCGGACAGUGGGGACAUUAAGCCUGCAGGCCCCUACUUAUGAUUCCUAUUAUCAAAGGUCUGAGGAAACUCGCCCGGAUCAGGAACAUGAAGAUAUUGGCGCGGUAGAACUGACUGGCAAGCCAUUAGCUCACAAAUUGAAAAACCUGAAGAUAACGCGCGAGCCAAUCACCAUCCAGUCCUUUGCAUGGACCAAGCCAGAGUACGAGUCAUACACCUAUGAUGCUAAGAACGCCCAUCUGGUCUUUAAUGACCUCAUCGAGGCAAGAUACGUGCGCUUGGAUCACAAGAUACCGCCCAAGGAAGAGCUGAAGGACAAAAAAUACUGCGCCUUCCACAAUGUUUACAAUCAUGACACCAAAGAUUGUGUCAAGCUUCGAGACCAGCUGCAGACAUGGCUGAACUCAGGCGAGCUAAAGAUGAAAACACCAGGUAGUACGGCCUCAUUGGUUAAUAUAGACCCUUUUCCGCGUGUAGUUGGCAUGGUCGAGGUAAACUGGGCCGAUCAGACAGAGGACGAAGAUCGACGCCGGGCACCAAAAAGGGCCGCGAGGAAGGUGACGAUGGUGCCCGCCGGCCACGUCGCCAAUACACCUACAACGAAGAUCUUGCACAUGAGGUUUUAGACGAUCUCAUUGAUGACGGGCUCCUCACAGUGGCCAAUUCCUUGCCAUACAUAGAAUAUAAGGAGGGGCGCAUUCACUGCAAGUUUCAUAAUAGCUGGGGGCAAAGAACCUACGAAUGCCAGCAACUCAGAGACCAGGUUCAAGACUGGCUCGACAUCAUGUAUAUUCGCUUUAAGAAUAAGGGCGACUUCAUGAUGGCAACGGCUGACUUCGCUUGGCCUCGAGUAGGCCAACGAAGAAUCACAUUAGACUUGUCGCCAAAUGCCGGUUUACAUGAACCGCCGGGCCGAAAUCGCAAACGGCCGGCGAAUAACUAUACUGUCCCGAAUAACCAGCAGGGGAAAGCAGACGACCCAGCUCGACAGUUGGUCGCUAAGCUCGAAACGGACCGCCCCUCUCGCAAAGAUAAGGGCAAAGCAGUCAUGAGGGACGAUGGACCGUUCCCCGUUGAAGAUCCCCAGCCUAUGAGUCCCAGGACUCGAGAAGAGCUGGAAAGGAGGAUAGAACGUCUCGAGACGUUCGUCUAUACACAUUGGGCAGAGGCGGUACCUUCAUCCCCUGCCACAAGUGAGAUGGACAUGUCAGACUCCAGCGGUGAACGUCACAACAACGAGGCCUCGAGCCCUCGGAAAGGCGUCCUAACCGACCCCUAUAUUCUCCCGACAUCCAAAUCAGCGAUCAAGGAUGGGGUCUGGUACACACAGCAAGGGGGCAAGGAGUUACCAUCAGCAGGUCUAAGAAGCGAAAGCUCCAAAAGCGAUACGGUAGUAUCCUACGUGCCUUACGGGCUGUCGAAGAGGGCGCUGUACGCCCCUCACAGCUCGCACAGACGCCUGAGCGGAUGUGGAGGGAAGCAGAGGGUUUGCGCGCAUUCCUUCAAAUGCCGCCUGUCACACCCCCAAGGAUUUGCGAGCAGUUCAGCGACGAGCCUGCACCCAAAGCAAAUGUCUUUUGCCGACUCACGGUUCCACCAAAGCAGGAUCCACAACCUUCCAGGCGCAGGCCAUCACCAGAACCUGAAAGAAGAAGGGAUCCACAACUUGCUAGGCCCAAACCGUCACCAGAGCCUGAAAAGAGAAGGGAUCAACAAGCUCCCAGGCACAGGCCAUCAUCAGAGCCCGAGCGAAGGGCUCCGCCUACCGGUCCUAGGCGUAAGCUGUUCACGACCCCGGAACCAGAGUCCAAACGCGAGCCGUCUCAGCCCUCACGGCAACGGGAACGUCAAAAUCCGGAGGCCAAUAUCAUAAGGGAGCCACCACCACCACACCCGCCUCGGGCACGGUCUACCCCGGAGCCCGAGACUCGGAUGGUUCCCCGAGUAUCCGCCCUACAACGGUUGAAAAAAGAAGACAACGAUAAGGCUCCUCUGGCGACAGACAAACAACCAGCCAAGGACCAUCAACCUUCAACCAAGUCAGUGUGACGUCCGCGGCAACCCGAGGCUCAAGAGCCACCAAUAGCCGCACAGGCGCCCUCCAGUCCUAACCUCGCCCAACAAAUGACCCAACGUUUCCGCGAGAAUUCAGAAGACGACGAGGCACAUUCAGAACCUCGACUUAACCUAGAGGAAGACCGGGACGAUGAGCAGGCAGAAUCAUUCACCUGUAAUAUGAUAGAGGUCUCAGGAUGGGAUGCUGAUGAAGGGUUUAGCAGCGAAGCAGACGCUUUCGCGGUGCUCGAAGGGGAACACGGGAUCAUUGACACUCCCCUGGUCCCAAUUCUUGAACAAUUCUCCUUUUAGGUCGGGAUGGUGUUCUUCAUUUAGGAAAGAUACGCUCUCCCACCAAACACAACCUGCAGUGAGGCGGAUAUUCCCGUUAGCGGCGAGGAUAUCAGUAGCAUACCCCCGCCAUGCAGCAGCGAAAUGGGCCCAGUUCCGGCACAGGCCGACGACGCCCCACAGGUGGAAAUUACGAGUAGCAUCAAACAUAAGCAAACUCUAACCUUCUCCACACCAACUUUGGACAUGGCCACUCACAUGCGGCCACUGUAUAUCACGGCCGAAGUCGAAGGAAAAAUGAUCAACAAGGUCAUGGCCGACACCGGUGCCGCGGUCAAUGUUGUCACAACCCGUACCAUGGGACUCCUAGACAUCCUACGCUCGAUGAUCCAAACCACGUCCUUAACAGUCAAGAACUUCACCGGGCAAGUGUUCAGAACCCUAGGCUUGCUAUUCCUACGGGUCAAGGUCGGGCCGGCAUCACGGGUUUACACCUUUUUCGUCGCCGAAUGCGCUUCCUCUUAUAGCAUGAUUCUUGGCCGAGAUUGGAUCCACAGAAGUUUUUGCGUGCCUUCCUCCAUGCACCAGGAACUCAUGAUUUGAGACGCCGAGAACCGUGAAGCAGUCAUCAUCAAAGCCGACCCGCGGCCAUUCUCUAUCUCCGCCAACUUCAACGAUGCUUGAUAUUAUACUACAGACUUGGGUCCGUUGGAUGUUCAAGGCGUCGAUAACAAGGGCCGCCCAUAUGGAAUAACGGCCUCCAAUCUAACGCGAUGGGGACUUACCCAGGCGAAGGACGAUUUGCAACGUCCUCACACCAUCGCGAAUCACACACCCCGUUCUGAUGAAUAGUGCAUUCUCAGAGGAGGCACGCGAGACUGGCGAGUCCCUGUGCGAAAGACUCUUUUCGUACUGGGCAGAAUGCGAAGCCUACGAUAAGGUCGCGACUAUGGAAUAUGUAGAUGAAGUGGUGGAUUAUUCCGAUCCCAAGGAGGAAGUUAUUCACUUAGCUCCCGCCGCCUUAGACGAUACACCACCUCAAGUCCGCGACCCCAUUUCACAAGUUGACGUAGGGACUGCAGAAAAGCCCUUACUUAUUUCUAUCAGUGCUAAGUUGGCGGAGGACGAAAAGGAAACCCUUCUUGCCCUGUUCUGCGAGUACAGGGAUUGCUUCGCCGACAAAUACGAAGACAUGCCCGGCUUGUCCCCGGACUUGGUCUGCCACCGGUUACCAACUUAUCCCGACCGACGUCCAGUACGGCAGGACGGCCGAUUCAUGCGAACUGAGACUCAGAUCGUAGUCAAGGAAGAGAUCGAAAGCAUGCACCGAUCGGGCAUCAUUCGCGUGGCAAAAUAUAACGAGUGGCUGUCCAAUGUUGUCCCCGUCCGCAAGAAAAAUGGCAAGAUGCGCGUCUGUGUUGAUUACCGCGACCUAAACAACGCAACAUCGAAGGAUAUCUACCCCAUGCCUGUGGCUGACCUACUCAUUGAUGCCGCCGCGGGGCACGAGAUGUUAUCCUUUAUGGAUGGAACGACCGGAUACCAUUAGAUUCCCGUCGUUGAGGAAGACCGACAUACGACCGCUUUCCGCUGCCCUGGUUUUGCCGGCGCGUUCGAGUACGUUGUCAUGCCUUUCGGACUUAAAAACGCGGGGGCAACGUACCAGCGCGCCAUGAACCUCAUCUUUCAUGACAUCUUGGGGAAGUUGAUCGAAGUAUACAUCGACGAUGUGGUAGUCAAAACCAAAACGUUGAAGACCUGCGGCAUGUGUUUACACGGAUGCGCCGACAUAACCUGAAGAUGAACCCCGCCAAGUGUGUUUUCUUUGCGAAGGCCGGCGAUUUCCUUGGUUUCCUAGUGCAUCAAAGAGGCAUCGAAAUCCCAAAGGACAAGGCACAGGCGGUAAUCACCGCUUCACCCCCCAACACAAAGAAGGAGCUUCAACAGUUGCUUGGGCGAAUCAACUUUCUCCGCCGUUUCAUAUCCAACGCGGCAGGGAAGGUCCAGCCUUUUUCACCCCUCCUCAAGCUCCAGGGGGCAACCGAGUUCGUCUGGGAACCACAACAUCAACAGGCCUUCGAUCGAAUCAAGGACUACCUUACGAACCCACCAGUCCUGAUCCCACCUCGCGACGGUACCCCGCUUAAACUUUAUAUCGCCGCUGCCGACUUGUCCAUCGGUGGACUCCUAGCCCAAGACGAUGUGAACGGGGUAGAACACGCUGUCUAUUACCCUAGCAGGGUGUUAACUGAGUGUGAGACACGAUACUCACCUAUGGAGAAGUUGUGUCUUGCCCUAUAUUUUGCAGGGUGCAAGCUGCGCCAUUACAUGCUUGCCUUUACCACGGUUGUGAUCGCUCAAUCCGACCUGGUCAAAUACAUGCUCUCCCGCCCUAUCUUGCGGGGACGCAUCGGCAAGUGGAUCUUAGCUAUGUCCGAAUUCUCGUUGCAAUAUGUUCCGCAAAAGGCAGUAAAAGGACAGGCAAUAGCAGACUUUCUCGCUCAUCACCCACCCUUAGAGCUCACGGCGUUUCGCGAGUUCGAAUUCGCUGCUGUGGCACUCGCUUCCUAGACCCUAUACUUUGAUGGUUCACGGACUGAUACCGCAGCCAGAGCUGGGAUAGCCAUAGCCAAUCCCACUGGAGAUCGCUUCUCCUACUCGUUCCAGCUCGAUUUCAAAUGUACCAACAACCAGGCUGAGUACGAGGCGCUGAUCAUCGGCCUAGAGAUUUUGUUGGAUUUAGGAGUCCGCGUGGUUCAGAUCUUUGGCGAUUCUUUGUUGGUCGUUAACCAGCUGGUGGAAAAGUUUAAGUGCUUAAGCUCGUCAAUUGAGCCAUACCUGCGCAAGGCAUUUGAGGUGUUGGAUCGAUUUGAUGACGUCUACAUCGAGCACAUACCACGCGAGUUCAAUUUCGCCGCCAACGAGCUCGCCCAAGUAGCGUCUGGUCUCAGCCUGCGCGACGGCGUGUGCGAACGUUUGCUCAAAGUCGAACGCUGUACGCUUCCCUCUUUCAUCGCUAGGGGGCAAUUUCAGGCCGACACCCCCAAAGUUGCGGCCUUGAACCCUAUCGACGAGGAUUGGCGGCUACCAUUUAUCGCCUACCUCCAGAACCCCAACGAUGCCGCUCACUCCAGGCAAAUACGUUUCCUCGCCUUAAACUUUAUUUUACGCAAUGGCGAACUCCGGCGGCGUGGGGAGGACGAAAAUGAUUUACGCUGCGUGUUUGGGAACGAAGCUAAACGUAUCAUGCGCGAAGUCCAUUGUGGGGUUUGCGGCUCGCACCAGGCCGGGCCAAAAAUGCGAUGGUUGAUCUGUCGCCAUGGGUACUACUGGCCAACCAUUCUGAAAGACUGUAUUGCCUUUGCCAGAGGUUGCCAAGACUGCCAGGCUCACGGACCAGUGCAACACAUUCCCAACAUCCCGUUACAGCCUAUCAUUAAACCUUGGCCGGGUCGCAGUUGGGCGAUAGAUUUCGUUAGCAUCAUUCAUCCCCAUUCUUCUGAGCAGCAUAGGUUCAUUAUCGUCGCCAUCGAUUUCUUUACCAAAUGGGUCGAGGCCGAACCACUCAAGGUUGCCUCCGCCAACUCGGUUCGCAACUUUAUUUUCCGUAAUAUCAUCUUCCGCUUUGGUAUACCGGAGUGCAUCGUUACGGACAGGGGGGCAGCUUUCAUGGCUGAUUGAGUUGUUAAGUACUUACACGACUACGGAAUCAAGCUUCUCCACUCUACGCCAUAUUAUGCACAGUCCAACGACCAGGCGGAGGCUAGUAAUAAGGUCAUCCUUGGCAUCCUCUGCAAGAUGUUGGAGUUGAACCCGCGUGUCUGGCAUGAGGAACUUCUACCACACGUUGUGGGCCUACCGCACUUCAAAGCGCGGCCCGACGGAUACCACCCCGUACGCUCUCAUGUACGGUCAUGAUGCCGUCCUUCCUCUUGAGAUCAAUAUCGCUUCACUCCGCGUUCAGGAACAGCAUCAACUACUUGGCGAGGAUUACGUCCAAGCCAUGUGGCAGGAGCUUGAAGAUCUUGACGAGCACCGCGUCACCGCUUUCAACAAUCUCGUCCUCGAGAAACAACGCAUCGCACGUUCGUAUGAUAAGGUCACGCGCGGACGGAGCUAUGCUGAGGGCCAGAAAGUGUGGCGCGCGGUACUCCCACUUGGGGAAAAAACCGACGGUCGGGGCAAGUGGUCCGCUCGAUGGGAAGACCCCUUUAUUAUUCAUCGUAUACUUCCCAAGGGGGCAUACCACCUGCGCGACUUAGACGGUACCAUUCAUCGCAAUCCUAUUAAUGGCCGCUUCCUCAAGCGCUACAUUGCUGGAGUUUGGGAACGCGAGGAUCCUCCACCUCCCCUAGGCCCCGUCGCCACUGUCAACAGUGCUACGCGCCAUCGCGUUCUAGCUCUGCCGCCUAACACUAGGGGGCAACCCGGGAUAGAAGACUGAUAGAGUACGUUUUAACAUACCAGCCUAAAAAGGCUAGUAUAAGAUUGGGGCCUAUUCCAGAGGUCCUAAAUAAGGAUAACUCUAUUUUUCUUCAUUUUCUGUAAACGUGCAAAGUCUAAACGCAAAGGCCAGUACAAGAUUGUGGCCUAUUCCAGAGGCCCUAAAAAACAAUAAAUUCAUUUAUUUUGCCCUUUUUGGCGUUGUUUCAAUACAAGUUUCGAACAUCGGCUUUGCGGCCGAAGCAACUACAUUGAUAGAAAGGGUGAAAUUAGACUAUGUUUACAAACAAAGGCAUAGAUCUGCAGAUAUUGGAAGCCUCAACCCGCAUAUCUUGCAGGGUUGAAGAAGAGACUGCCGCCAUAUCCUUCGUUUAAAGUUGGCAAACGUCCCGCUUCUUUAGACCAGCACGAGCCUUGUCACCGGCCCGGACCUAAGACAAAUUAUUGGGAAGCUAGAGGUCCACUGGACCAGGGUCCCUCAUGCUACCGGUCAUGCCUGGAAGGUGCUUGAAAGGCACUGACCAGAACCUGAAGCGUAAGCGGAUGCGGAGCCUCGAGAGCCUCACGUUUGGACAGAACAGCCGGUGCAAGGCAGAAGGUACCCAACCAUUAGUUCGUCCAAACAAAGGCUUGACCUGAGAGUAGAUUUCCAGAAUCACUCCCGGCCUGAGAGUAGAUUUUCAGAAUCAGAAAAAACGAAGAGUGAAAAUGUGAGGUGGGGGCUUUGCUUUAAGAAGGGACAAGAUGAUGUACAGAAGGGUAUAAGAGCCCAUGGCAAGGGGGCAAAGACUUAACUGGUACUUCGCCCCGGCCAAGCGUUUCUUUUUAUAGGCGAGAAGGGUGAUUUUCCUUUUAACAGAUGUCCUCCAUGCAUCGAUUUGCUCCGAGAUAUGAGCUUUGGAGAUAAGGUCGAUGCGUUGUUCCAUAAUGACUACCCGCGUUCCAAACGAGUAGUUGCAUUGGAAACCCCCACCAAAUCUUGGAAGAAGAUUUUUUCCUGGGACGGCAGUUCUUACACAAGAGUUGACAAGAGCGGGAAAAAUUUGAUUUAAUAAUAAUAUUAUAAAGGUUCAUACAAAGGGGGCAAAGUGCUGAUCGGGCCUAAACCCGCCUAGAAGCCCUAUACAAAUCUAUGAGAAGGCCUUCUAAGGCCAACUCUUCAACGUCUGCCUGGGCUUGGGCUUCGUCGGCAGUAGCAGCAGCCGAGUCCAAAGCUUCCUGGGUCUCUUCCGCGGCCUGCACACGGGUUUCUGCCUCUUCAGCUCGGGCCAAGUUCUGGCGAGCUUGAGCAAGCUGAGCUUGCAGCUCCGUUAUCUGAACCUCCAGGGCCUCCACUUGCCGAGCAUAAACAGUGCAUGGGUUCUCUGGCGAUGCCUCAGGGAUUUCAGCGUCAUCAAGCUCGGCUAAAAGGGCUGCCAUCUGAUCGUCUAAGGCUUGGCGGACUUUCUCGUGAGCAGCCGACUGGGCACCAACAUCUUGAACUCGGCGAGCCUGCAGCUCGACAGCGUCGGUGAGUUCCAACACAUGGUCUAGAGCAGGGUUGCUCCCAGCGAGGUGCUGAAUCAGAGCUUCAUGGGCCUCGCGGGCGCGCCUCACCAAGUCGAAUACGUUCAUGUGGGGACCUUGGCGCAGUAACCCGUGAAAGAAAGCCUAGGCCAGGCGAAUGGGCUCUGGAUCGACAGGCGGGGUAAUCCGGGCCCGAAGACGAGCGGUCCGGGUAGCCAAAGAAGAAGACGCCUCGCCAGAUGUUCUCGUUGGGGCCGGAGUGGUUGGUUCAACCUCUGCAACUGCCUCAAUCUCUAGAACGGGCGGUGGGACCUCAAACCGAGUAGGGACUGUCGGUUCUUCGGUGGUCUGGGCCGCUGAGUCUGGUUGCGAAGGAGAGGGCUCAAGCACCGGUUGAAGGUCCUUUGGCGGAACCGCCGAGGGGGCAGCAAAAUCAGAAAGCCGGGUGGUCUGGCCGAGAUCUUCAUCUUGAGCAGGAGCCGAGGUAGGCUCUGGAGGCGGGCUAGUUUCGCCUAGAGCGUCGGUUGGAGAAGGGGGUCGCACGGCGACUUCCUCUGUAACCAUGGUUUGAUCCCCGACGAUUGGUUCCGGGAUUGGGACUUCAACUAUCGCUGUUGCUCCUUCAAUGACAGCGAGGCGAGGUCGGAUGCGGCGGCGAACUUGUCAAAUACAAAGUUAGCAAAUCGUUUGUUGGCUUUAAUGAGUUUGGUUCGAAGAAAGGUCACUUAUCAAAGUGUGCUCUUGCCGAUAUCGUUCAUCCUCUAGCAACUCUUCUUCGUCCUCGACAGGGCGCUUCCGCGAGCCUUUGCCGCUUGUUGGCCGGGGAAUAACGGGAGCAGUCUCACCGUCAUGGUCCGCCGCGGGCUCCUCUUGAGCAGGUGCUUUCCUUUUGUCUCCGGCACCCUCAGGUCUUCUGACCGAUCUCCGGCGGGGUGCAGACUGUAAAGGUAGACAGGAGAGUUAGGAGGAAGCAUUUUGUUGAAGUGGUAAAGGCGGUAUGGAAUUUACAUAGUUGGUGGUUUACCUCGGGUGCGGGAUCGCGUUCUCGAAUGACGAUCCCGGUCGAGCGAUGAGUAGCGGGAACCGGUGGGAGCGCAGGCCUAGACCCUGUCGCAGCCUUUAAACCGCUUUCUUCACGGUCGCGCUGGGCAUCAAGAAUGACGCGAUCUGACUCGCCCAAAGUGUCGUAUAGGGGAUAAAAGAUGGCAGCAAAGACAACAUCAUCUGGGAACCCCCAAUGGUUGUCGGACAAAGAUCGCCACCAAGAAAGAUAGGCGGGGUCAACGCCCAGUGAAUGCUCGAUCUCGAGCAAGUCAGGAGUGAGAAGGAAAAUGUUCUGCAGCGGGGUGACCCGGUCGGACUCGCCAAUCUUCCUCCAGGAGGUGUACUUGUUCACCGAAUGGAAGAGUGGAUAGGGGAUCCCUUGAAAGAAGCCGAGUUGUCUGGCGAAGUGGUUGGGGGCAUAUAGCUCGAAGCCUUGUUCAUCCUCGGCGAGUUGAAGGUCGCAGCAUGAGGAUGCUCUCAUGAAGACGGUCUUGGCAUCUAAGUCCGAAUCAGAGCGCGGGAAGAAGCCCGUCGAUAAGACUUCAGGAUGGCGCCGGCGAACCAUCAUGUCUGUGGUGGGAGGCGGUUCGAGUUGGUUGUACAGGAUGGAGAGGCUGACGAAGAAGGACAGGGGAGUCCGGUUCGCAGCGUUCCUGCACACCGCGAAGCCAAGCAGUUGGUCCUCGGGCAGGAAUUCCAGCGGGGCUCGCCGGAAGAGCGGGAAGUACAGCUGCGUCCAUAAAUCCAGGAUCCACAGAGGGCCAGCAGAGAGAUGGAAGGGUCUUAGGGACAACAUGUGCAGGGUCCGGUAGAGCGCGCCCAGCACGGGCUGCCCUAGCCCUACUUCGAUUCCAUUGUAGAGUGCCUCGGCCAGCUUUGUCCAUUUCCCUGUAGGUUUGUGAGCACUGCCACAGAAUAUGAAUUUAUAAAGCCAGUACUCAAGGAAAGCGAUACCUCCUUCGUGUUGUUCUGCAUGGCCGAUGUAGAACUUCCUCCAUACUCCAUACGAGCCUUUCAGGGCGCGGCGGGCCCCCAGGUUGCAGGAGUGCGUAAACUCGGUCGAUGCAAAGUCGCCUGGCGCAUAUGGCUUUGCAUGAAUCGGCAGCCCGGUGAUGGCGAGGAUGUCCAGUAGAGAAAUGUCCAUUUGCCCGAAAGGAAAAUCGAAAGUGUUGGUGGCACUGUUCCAUAAGCAGGCCGCGGCAGCAAUGGGUGCUCGAUCAGCAUGAGGAGGCAGUGAGAAGCUCAAGGCAAUGGCUUCGUUGAUGCCGGUUGCUUCCCAGAUCGCUUGGUCGGUCUGGAGGCGAGCCGUGUACCAUGCCCGGUCCUCCGCGGUGACGCUGGGCCAUUCCCCGACCCGGAUAUUUGUAUGAGAGCGGGCUUGGUGAAACCAGGAGGCGAAGUUUCCCGGUUCGCGACGCUGGGCAAGGAUUGGUCGGCGCACGGAGGCGGUAUAGUGGUUCAGAUCAGCGGCGGACGGAGGUUGUGAAGGAGUCGGACCGAGCAGGGCUGCCCCUGUUUCAAGGAAAUAAAUGGGUGUUCCUUGAGGAGGGUUGUUGGCAAAACGGCGAGCGAGGCCGGUCGACCAAGAGCUCGCCGCCGUGAGGUUAAGGUUUGGAUCGUUAACAGUUGGUUUGGGAGCCAUUGUUUCUGGGCGGAGUGAGUCCGGUGGUGAAGUUCUGUUGGUUGCAGAAGAAAGGGAAAAGUUUGAUUGGAAAGCGAUGGUGAGAUGUGAGGACCCGCAUCGAGGUUUAUAAAGGAGACGGACCGUAACGUCUUUUCAAUCAGUAGCCGUAAUGAGGAGACGCGAUGACGACCGAAACGUCAGCGCGUUUCAAAUUUCAAACAGUCGCAAUGAUGCCGAAACGUCAGCACCUUUUGAAUUGCGAAUUCCCGUAAAUGGCUCAUUUAGGCCUUUUCGCUUAUCCGUUGCGAAAUGGAUUAAGCUCAAGGCCUAGGGGGCAAUGUUUGAGCCCAGUGGGUAUUUUUGGUCCAAGACUCGGGGUACGUUUUGGAUAACAUUUGGGCCAGUACUUGUGACCCUUUUUUAAUGCGAAGCCCACGAAGGAUGGCGAAGUCUGGCAACACGCGAGCUGGAGUUUUGCAAGGAUUCCGAUACCCCGCGGGAUUCGAUGUCCUCGCGGGAUCCUUUGUUUCAGUUCGUGUAGGAUUCUACAGUGCAUGGCGAGGUAGAGUUGGAAAUGGACUGUAGUACUCCGCGGGAUAGGAUCGCUUAGUGUUCGAGUUCGCGUACGACGCUACAGUAAGAUGAUGCGGGGCGGUGAGCGAGACCUAGGCGAGGUCUGUUCUGGACACGUGUUGCACGGAUCGCGCGGCUCGCGAGCUGGUCGUAUCCUUGUGGAAUUCUAAUUGCUGAGUCCGAAUGGGUUAUGACUAGGUCUAUGCGAAUUGCUCGCGGAUCACUAUAUAAGGGAGCUUGACAUAAUCAAAGAGGACACAAUCAAUCAUACAAAAACAAGUACAAGUUCUCGAGCAUCCUCGAAACCCUAAGUUCUAAGUGCACUUCGCCUUAGUUCUCAGACUCCCUCCCGAUUCGCCUCCUUCCCCUAGUUGUUGCUCUGCUCACCCUAGCAGUGAGUAUCGAUUCACAAGUGACAAGAAGUUUUACUCGUAAUCCCUCGUCGGCGAGGUGGCACCGGUAACCCCUUCUUCGCUUGUUUAGAAGUCUAGCCGCAGCGCAUUCCUUUCCUCGCCCGCGAGGUGGCACGCCCCGCAAAUGUCCUUCUCUUUACUUUUGAGUCACCGGAGUUCCGACUCUGCCCCUGCUGAGACGCGUGGCCAAAACAGGGAGAACAAGGGGUUGAUUACAGUGCUUGGGCUGCUAGCAAGAUUUUCUAUACUGGAGAUGUUUUGAGUGAGUAGCAUGGGAACUUUCUAUAUAUCUAGGUCGAAUGAUUUCUAAAUUCUCAUACUGUAAACUUUGAGAUUAUUGGUGCUGGAGUAUCUUAUUAUUUCUUACUCAUACGAUGAUGUUUUUUGAAGUUACUUCUGAUUUCCUAUUAUUCUGUCUAAUUCAUGCUAAAUUGUCUCUUUUUUUUACCUUUCUUGCCAGUUUUUCUCUACGAUUCAAUCUUCCACAAUGUGGUUGUGGCGACUGAUUCUGAUGCGUAUGAGAACUGCGUUACGAAACCCAACUUGGGUCUGUACACCACUGCGAAUGACGAGUUGUAUUUGUAUGAUGCUGGAAACUAUUGAUAUUAUGAUAUCCACAUACAUUAACAAAUGCAUGCCUCUCUUAGGACAUGAAUUACGUGUUUGCGAAGUUGUAAUGACUAAGCUUGUUUUAUAUAGAUCCAGCUCGUGUUUUACAAAUGAAAG
This 15723-nucleotide long non-coding RNA is filed under the name Fragaria vesca (wild strawberry). Its description in RNAcentral is "long non-coding RNA (FVES_LNC003608)". Lineage: Eukaryota; Viridiplantae; Streptophyta; Magnoliopsida; Rosales; Rosaceae. The record is from RNAcentral.